This 303-nucleotide ribosomal RNA is filed under the name uncultured bacterium. Its description in RNAcentral is "partial 16S ribosomal RNA". It matches the Rfam family "Bacterial small subunit ribosomal RNA", at positions 507 to 809 of the family's 1533-position model. The record is from RNAcentral.
AGCAGUCGCCGCGGGAAUACGUAGGGUGCAAGCGUUAAUCGGAAUUACUGGGCGUAAAGCGUGCGCAGGCGGUUAUAUAAGACAGAUGUGAAAUCCCCGGGCUCAACCUGGGAACUGCAUUUGUGACUGUAUAGCUAGAGUACGGCAGAGGGGGAUGGAAUUCCGCGUGUAGCAGUGAAAUGCGUAGAUAUGCGGAGGAACACCGAUGGCGAAGGCAAUCCCCUGGGCCUGUACUGACGCUCAUGCACGAAAGCGUGGGGAGCAAACAGGAUUAGAUACCCCCGUAGUCCCUGUCUCUUAUAA